This 253-nucleotide ribosomal RNA is filed under the name uncultured bacterium. Its description in RNAcentral is "partial 16S ribosomal RNA". It matches the Rfam family "Bacterial small subunit ribosomal RNA", at positions 524 to 776 of the family's 1533-position model. The record is from RNAcentral.
UACGUAGGGUGCGAGCGUUAAUCGGAAUUACUGGGCGUAAAGCGUGCGCAGGCGGUCUGUUAAGACCGAUGUGAAAGCCCCGGGCUCAACCUGGGAACUGCAUUUGAAACUGGCGGGCUUGAGUAUGGCAGAGGGGGGUGGAAUUCCGCGUGUAGCAGUGAAAUGCGUAGAGAUGCGGAGGAACACCGAUGGCGAAGGCAGCCCCCUGGGCCAAUACUGACGCUCAGGCACGAAAGCGUGGGGAGCAAACAGG